GACGUAGGAGGCGAGCGUUGUCCGGAUUCAUUGGGCGUAAAGAGCACGCAGGCGGUUUGGCAAGUCGGAUGUGAAAACCCGAAGCUCAACCUCGGGCCUGCAUCCGAAACUGCCCGACUAGAGGUAGGUAGGGGAGAUCGGAAUUCCUGGUGUAGCGGUGAAAUGCGCAGAUAUCAGGAGGAACACCGGUGGCGAAGGCGGAUCUCUGGGCCUUACCUGACGCUCAGGUGCGAAAGCGUGGGGAGCAAACAGG
Molecule: ribosomal RNA, 253 nt
Filed under: uncultured bacterium
Lineage: Bacteria
Description: partial 16S ribosomal RNA
Rfam family: Bacterial small subunit ribosomal RNA
Source: RNAcentral